GGCCUANCACAAUNCAAGNCAGGCCUAACACAUCAAGUCGAACGCGAAAGGGACUUCGGUCCUGAGUAAAGUGGCGCACGGGUAGUAACGCGUGGAUAAUCUGCCCUUAUGAUCGGGAUAACAGUUGAAACGGCUGCUAAUACCGGAUACGCUCAAAAUGAACUUUUUGAGGAAAGAUGGCCUCUGCUUGCAUGCUAUCACGUAAGGAUGAGUCCGCGUCCCAUUAGCUUGUUGGCGGGGUAACGGCCCACCAAGGCAACGAUGGGUAGCCGAUUUGAGAGGAUGAUCGGCCACACUGGAACUGAAACACGGUCCAGACUCCUCGGGAGGCAGCAGUGGGGAAUAUUGCGCAAUGGGCGAAAGCCUGACGCAAGCGACGCCGCGUGAGGGAUGAAGGUUUUCGGAUCGUAAACCUCUGUCAGAAGGGAAGAAACUACGUUGUGCUAAUCAGCANCGUACUGACGGUACCUCAAAGAAGGCCGGCAAACC
RNAcentral lists this ribosomal RNA (489 nucleotides) under bacterium SRB3. RNAcentral describes it as "bacterial SSU rRNA". It matches the Rfam family "Bacterial small subunit ribosomal RNA", at positions 39 to 502 of the family's 1533-position model. Lineage: Bacteria; Deltaproteobacteria. The record is from RNAcentral.